AGUAAAGGUUUGUCAUAGGUUUAUCGACUGAGACUGCAGGACGAGCGCUGGAGGCGUGCCUAAUACAUGCUAGUCGAACGAACAGAAAAGGAGCUUGCUCCUUUGACGUUAGCGGCGGACGGGUGAGUAACACGUGGGCAACCUACCCUAUAGUUUGGGAUAACUCCGGGAAACCGGGGCUAAUACCGAAUUAUCUCUUUUGCCUCAUGGUAAAAGAGUGAAAGGCGGUUUCGGCUGUCGCUAUUGGAUGGGCCCGCGGCGCAUUAGCUAGUUGGUGAGGUAACGGCUCACCAAGGCGAUGAUGCGUAGCCGACCUGAGAGGGUGAUCGGCCACACUGGGACUGAGACACGGCCCAGACUCCUACGGGAGGCAGCAGUAGGGAAUCUUCCACAAUGGGCGAAAGCCUGAUGGAGCAACGCCGCGUGAGUGAAGAAGGUUUUCGGAUCGUAAAACUCUGUUGUAAGGGAAGAACAAGUACAAGUAGUAACUGCC
RNAcentral lists this ribosomal RNA (493 nucleotides) under uncultured Lysinibacillus sp. RNAcentral's name for it is "bacterial SSU rRNA". It matches the Rfam family "Bacterial small subunit ribosomal RNA", at positions 1 to 468 of the family's 1533-position model. The record is from RNAcentral. Lineage: Bacteria; Bacillati; Bacillota; Bacilli; Caryophanales; Bacillaceae.